GCCUUACGCGGCCGUGAUUCGGCUUAUAAUCCACGUGUCGCUUAAUUUCAUUCACACGUGGGUUAUCUGCCCUAUGGUGGAGGAUAACCCCGGGAAACUGGGGAUAAUACUCCAUAAGUCAGGAGUACUGGAAUGUCUCCUAACUGAAAGUUGCGGCGCCAUAGGAUGAAUCUGCGGCCGAUUAGGUAGUUGUUGGGGUAACGGCCUUACAUUCCCGUAAUCGGUACGGGUUGUGGGAGCAAGAGCCCGGAGAUGGAAUCUGAGACACGAUUCCAGUCAACUAUCUCAUCGCAGCAGGCGCGAAAACUUUACAAUGCAGGGAACUGUUUUUAAGGGAACCCCGAGUGCCCGUACACGCGGGCUGUCCCGGUGUUUAAAACACAUCGGAAGAAAGGGCCGGGCAAGACCGGUGCCAGCCGCCGCGGUAAUACCGGCGGCUCGAGUGGUGACCACUUUUUAUUGGGCUUAAAGCGUUCGUAGCUUGAUUUUUAAGUCUCUUGGGGAAAUCUCACGGCUUAACUGUGAGGCGUCUAAGAGAUACUGGGAAUCUAGGACCGGGAGAGGUAAGAGGUACUUCAGGGGUAGAGUGAAUUCUGUAUCUUUGAGGACCACGAUGCGAGGCAUCUACCAGACGCUUCGCGUGAGACGAAGCUGGGACGAACGGGUAAUACCCGUAUCCAGCCGUACAUUAUGCCCGUUUAAGGGG
RNAcentral lists this ribosomal RNA (706 nucleotides) under uncultured archaeon. RNAcentral describes it as "bacterial SSU rRNA". It matches the Rfam family "Archaeal small subunit ribosomal RNA", at positions 48 to 775 of the family's 1478-position model. The record is from RNAcentral.